GACAGAGGUGCCAAGCGUUAGGCGGAAUCACUGGGCGUAAAGCGCACGUAGGCGGAUUUGCCAGUCAGGGGUGAAAUCCCGGGGCUCAACCUCGGAACUGCCUUUGAUACAGCAAGUCUUGAGUUCGAGAGAGGUGGGUGGAAUUCCUAGUGUAGAGGUGAAAUUCGUAGAUAUUAGGAAGAACACCGGUGGCGAAGGCGGCCCACUGGCUCGACACUGACGCUGAGGUGCGAAAGCGUGGGGAGCAAACAGG
RNAcentral lists this ribosomal RNA (253 nucleotides) under uncultured bacterium. RNAcentral's name for it is "partial 16S ribosomal RNA". It matches the Rfam family "Bacterial small subunit ribosomal RNA", at positions 524 to 776 of the family's 1533-position model. The record is from RNAcentral.